This 946-nucleotide ribosomal RNA is filed under the name Bacillus licheniformis. RNAcentral's name for it is "bacterial SSU rRNA". It matches the Rfam family "Bacterial small subunit ribosomal RNA", at positions 36 to 991 of the family's 1533-position model. The record is from RNAcentral. Lineage: Bacteria; Bacillati; Bacillota; Bacilli; Caryophanales; Bacillaceae.
CUGGGAGUGCUAUACUGCAGUCGAGCGGACCGACGGGAGCUUGCUCCCUUAGGUCAGCGGCGGACGGGUGAGUAACACGUGGGUAACCUGCCUGUGAGACUGGGAUAACUCCGGGAAACCGGGGCUAAUACCGGAUGCUUGAUUGAACCGCAUGGUUCAAUCAUAAAAGGUGGGUUUUAGCUACCACUUACAGAUGGACCCGCGGCGCAUUAACUAGUUGGUGAGGUAACGGCUCACCAAGGCGACGAUGCGUAGCCGACCUGAGAGGGUGAUCGGCCACACUGGGACUGAGACACGGCCCAGACUCCUACGGGAGGCAGCAGUAGGGAAUCUUCCGCAAUGGACGAAAGUCUGACGGAGCAACGCCGCGUGAGUGAUGAAGGGUUUCGGAUCGUAAAACUCUGGUGGUAGGGAAGAACAAGUACCGAUCGAAUAGGGCGGUACCUUGACGGUACCUAACCAGAAAGCCACGGCUAACUACGUGCCAGCAGCCGCGGUAAUACGUAGGUGGCAAGCGUUGUCCGGAAUUAUUGGGCGUAAAGCGCGCGCAGGCGGUUUCUUAAGUCUGAUGUGAAAGCCCCCGGCUCAACCGGGGAGGGUCAUUGGAAACUGGGGAACUUGAGUGCAGAAGAGGAGAGUGGAAUUCCACGUGUAGCGGUGAAAUGCGUAGAGAUGUGGAGGAACACCAGUGGCGAAGGCGACUCUCUGGUCUGUAACUGACGCUGAGGCGCGAAAGCGUGGGGAGCGAACAGGAUUAGAUACCCUGGUAGUCACGCCGUAACGAUGAGUGCUAAGUGUUAGAGGGUUCCGCCCUUUAUGCUGCAGUAACGCAUUAAGACUCCGCCUGGGGAGUCGGUCGCAGACUGAACUCAAGGAAUGACGGGGCCCGCACAGCGGGGAGAUGUGGUUAUUCGAGCACGCGAGAACUUACAGGUCUGACUCCCUG